RNAcentral lists this ribosomal RNA (279 nucleotides) under uncultured bacterium. RNAcentral describes it as "partial 16S ribosomal RNA". It matches the Rfam family "Bacterial small subunit ribosomal RNA", at positions 506 to 784 of the family's 1533-position model. The record is from RNAcentral.
UGCCAGCAGCCGCGGUAAUACGUAGGACGCAAGCGUUAUCCGGAAUUACUGGGCGUAAAGAGCGCGUAGGCGGGUCUACAAGUCAGCCGUGAAAGCUCCUGGCUAAACUGGGAGAGGUCGGUUGAAACUGUAGGUCUUGAGUAUGUCAGAGGCGUGUAGAAUUCCGCGUGUAGUGGUGAAAUGCGUAGAUAUGCGGAGGAAUACCAGUGGCGAAGGCGGCACGCUGGGGCACUACUGACGCUGAGGCGCGAAAGCAUGGGUAGCGAACGGGAUUAGAUA